GUGCUCACUUCGGCAGCACAUAUACUAAAAUCGGAACGAUCCUGAGAUUAGCCUGGGCCCCAGCACAGGGAUGACACAUAUUUAAAAAGAAAGGGAGCUCAGUGUC
Small nuclear RNA from Peromyscus californicus insignis, 106 nucleotides. The record is from RefSeq and is a predicted model, not a curated record. Lineage: Eukaryota; Metazoa; Chordata; Mammalia; Rodentia; Cricetidae.